AUUCCACGAUUCCAUAGACCUGAUCUGCAGUGGCGUGCGUGCAAAAGGUCACCUGAGGCAAUUUAUUCCUCUUCUCGGUUCCGCGCAAUACAAACGGUAGAACUCUGUAGGGACUCUUCUCACCGAUUUCAGGGCUCCAAGAUGUAGACCCGCCAUGUACAUGCCUGCUGAGAAAGCAGGUGCUCCAAUUUGGAUGUUUUGUUGAAAACUUGAAUGAUUUUUUGAUAUUAAAAUAUCGGUAAUAGCCAAUAUUGAUAAAUAUAAUUCACGACUGAUUAGAAGAUGACUAAUCAAAACAAAAAGGAACAUUAAAAUGAUCCAGAUUAGAAACUUUCGACCGGAACACCGCAUUAUUAUCAAAGAAACAAUUUUCCAUGUUCUUUAAUGUGAUUCAUCGAACUAUUAUAUACAUACUUGGACAAUACUGUUCCAUUUACGGAAAGACGAAACCGUCAAUUUCGGAUCGAUACGGCGCAGGCGUGCCUAUCUUCCGUAUAAUUCGUCAGAAUUUAAACUUAUAAAAACAAAAACUUCAGCUUCAAUUAAAAAAAA
Molecule: long non-coding RNA, 552 nt
Organism: Apis dorsata (giant honeybee)
Lineage: Eukaryota; Metazoa; Arthropoda; Insecta; Hymenoptera; Apidae
Exons: 2
Source: RefSeq, a predicted model, not a curated record